This 726-nucleotide ribosomal RNA is filed under the name uncultured cyanobacterium. RNAcentral's name for it is "bacterial SSU rRNA". It matches the Rfam family "Bacterial small subunit ribosomal RNA", at positions 312 to 1051 of the family's 1533-position model. Lineage: Bacteria; Bacillati; Cyanobacteriota. The record is from RNAcentral.
ACUGGGACUGAGACACGGCCCAGACUCCUACGGGAGGCAGCAGUGGGGAAUUUUCCGCAAUGGGCGCAAGCCUGACGGAGCAAUACCGCGUGAGGGAGGAAGGCCUUUGGGUUGUAAACCUCUUUUCUUAAGGAAGAAGAUCUGACGGUACUUAAGGAAUCAGCAUCGGCUAACUCCGUGCCAGCAGCCGCGGUAAUACGGAGGAUGCAAGCGUUAUCCGGAAUUAUUGGGCGUAAAGCGUCCGCAGGCGGCACUAUAAGUCUGCUGUCAAAGACCGCAGCUCAACUGCGGAAAGGCAGUGGAAACUGUAGAGCUAGAGUACGGUAGGGGUAGAGGGAAUUCCCAGUGUAGCGGUGAAAUGCGUAGAGAUUGGGAAGAACACCAGUGGCGAAAGCGCUCUACUGGGCCGUAACUGACGCUCAGGGACGAAAGCUAGGGGAGCGAAAGGGAUUAGAUACCCCUGUAGUCCUAGCUGUAAACGAUGGAUACUAGGCGUAGCUUGUAUCGACCCGAGCUGUGCCGAAGCUAACGCGUUAAGUAUCCCGCCUGGGGAGUACGCACGCAAGUGUGAAACUCAAAGGAAUUGACGGGGGCCCGCACAAGCGGUGGAGUAUGUGGUUUAAUUCGAUGCAACGCGAAAAACCUUACCAGGGGCUUGACAUGUCGCGAAUCUGAGGGGAACCUCAGAGUGCCUUCGGGAGCGCGAACACAGGUGGUGCAUGGCUG